RNAcentral lists this ribosomal RNA (282 nucleotides) under uncultured bacterium. RNAcentral describes it as "partial 16S ribosomal RNA". It matches the Rfam family "Bacterial small subunit ribosomal RNA", at positions 29 to 337 of the family's 1533-position model. The record is from RNAcentral.
AACGAACGCUGGCGGCAGGCUUAACACAUGCAAGUCGAACGGUUGUAGCAAUACAGCAGUGGCGCACGGGUGAGUAACGCGUGGAUAUCUGCCUUUUGGUCGGAAUAACUCCGGGAAACUGGAGCUAAUACCGGAUGGUUCCUACGGGAUAAAGAUUUAUCGCCAAAAGAUGAGUCCGCGUACGAUUAGCUAGUUGGUGAGGUAAUGGCUCACCAAGGGCACGAUCGUUAGCUGGUCUGAGAGGACGAUCAGCCACACUGGGACUGAGACACGGCCCAGACU